This 441-nucleotide ribosomal RNA is filed under the name uncultured bacterium. RNAcentral's name for it is "partial 16S ribosomal RNA". It matches the Rfam family "Bacterial small subunit ribosomal RNA", at positions 338 to 795 of the family's 1533-position model. The record is from RNAcentral.
CCUACGGGAGGCAGCAGUGGGGAAUAUUGCACAAUGGGGGAAACCCUGAUGCAGCAACGCCGCGUGAGUGAGGAAGUAUUUCGGUAUGUAAAGCUCUAUCAGCAGGGACUAGAAAAGAAGGUACCUGAAAAAGAAUCCCCGGCUAACUAGGUGCCAGCAGCCGCGGUAAUACGUAGGGGGCAAGCGUUAUCCGGAUUUCCUGUGUGUAAAGGGAGCGUAGACGGAAAGGCAAGUCAGAAGUGAAAGCCCAAGGCUAAACCAUGGGACUGAUGGUGACACUGUCAAACUAGAGUACGGGAGAGGUAAGAGGAAUGCCUAGUGUAGCGGUGAAAUGCGUAGAUAUUAGGAGGAACACCAGUGGCGAAGGCGUCUUACUGGACCGAAACUGACGUUGAGGCUCGAAAGCGUGGGGAGCAAACAGGAUUAGAUACCCUUGUAGUC